Molecule: ribosomal RNA, 440 nt
Filed under: uncultured bacterium
Lineage: Bacteria
Description: partial 16S ribosomal RNA
Rfam family: Bacterial small subunit ribosomal RNA
Source: RNAcentral
CCUACGGGCGGCAGCAGUAGGGAAUAUUGCUCAAUGGGGGAAACCCUGAAGCAGCAACGCCGCGUGGAGGAUGAAGGUUUUCGGAUUGUAAACUCCUUUUGUUAGAGAAGAUAAUGACGGUAUCUAACGAAUAAGCACCGGCUAACUCCGUGCCAGCAGCCGCGGUAAUACGGAGGGUGCAAGCGUUACUCGGAAUUACUGGGCGUAAAGAGGGCGUAGGCGGGAUAGUAAGUCAGAUGUGAAAUCCUAUGGCUUAACCAUAGAACUGCAUUUGAAACUGUUAGUCUAGAGUAUGGGUGAGGUAGGUGGAAUUCGUGGUGUAGGGGUAAAAUCCGUAGAGAUCAAGAGGAAUACUCAUUGCGAAGGCGACCUGCUAGAACAUAACUGACGCUGAUGCGCGAAAGCGUGGGGAGCAAACAGGAUUAGAUACCCGUGUAGUC